Long non-coding RNA from Saccostrea echinata, 134 nucleotides. RefSeq lists it as uncharacterized. The record is from RefSeq and is a predicted model, not a curated record. NCBI's taxonomy places the organism in Eukaryota, Metazoa, Mollusca, Bivalvia, Ostreida, Ostreidae. The transcript has 3 exons.
CGAUGAAUAUUUUCAGCAUGUUUACAAUUGACUUUGCAUUAAAGGAUGAGAUAUAUAAAGACCCUUGCUUCCAUCCGGCGCAACAAACACAUUACCCGCUGCUACCAUUGAUAACUGUAAACUAUCCAAACAAA